CUGAUCUCAUCAAUCUAGCGGGAGAGACAGGAUAACCUGUCCGAGAGUAUAGCGCCACUAUGACUCCGCCGGAAAAAUUACUUUAAAAAUCGCCAAAAAUUACUUGGAGCAAAGGGCAGUCGGCGGAGCUUCGCCAAGGCUGGCGCAGUCGGUUUAAUAAUGAUAGAAUGAAGACCACAAUAAAAGAGACCUCUACUUAGCUCAGCAAUUCUUACCUUUCUUACCUAUUUGAUGAAGAUGUCUUUUGAAAGGUGUACUGCAAGGAACAAAAUGUUUGUAAAUUCUCCUUUUACCAAGGUAAAGAUCAAAUUUUAUAAAUUUACUUGUUUGUUUAUACAAGGAAAAAUAACUUCAUAUAUUGAAUAUAUUCAAAAGUUUAAGCAUUUAGUUGUAUUGCCCUGUUAAGUUGGCAUAGCAAAUAAAUGCUUUUCUUUUCCUCAUUUUAUUCUUUGUGUUUCCUAACCUAUAGCACUGUGCUGGGCACAGAAUGGACUUCAGUUAAGUUUUUGAUGUAGAAAUGUUUUAUUAUUCUACUUAAAAUCUCCUUAAAAAUAAUUAUGCAUAUUACAUCAAUGUUAUAAUGUUUAAACAUAGAUUUUUUUACAUGCAUUCUUUUUUUCCUGAAAGAAAAUAUUUUUUAUAUUCUUUAGGCGCGAAUGUGUGUUUAAAAAAAAUAAAACCUUGGAGUAAAG
RNAcentral lists this long non-coding RNA (692 nucleotides) under Homo sapiens (human). The record is from RNAcentral. Lineage: Eukaryota; Metazoa; Chordata; Mammalia; Primates; Hominidae.